This 465-nucleotide ribosomal RNA is filed under the name Vreelandella stevensii. RNAcentral describes it as "partial 16S ribosomal RNA". It matches the Rfam family "Bacterial small subunit ribosomal RNA", at positions 338 to 795 of the family's 1533-position model. Lineage: Bacteria; Pseudomonadati; Pseudomonadota; Gammaproteobacteria; Oceanospirillales; Halomonadaceae. The record is from RNAcentral.
CCUACGGGCGGCAGCAGUGGGGAAUAUUGGACAAUGGGCGAAAGCCUGAUCCAGUCAUGCCGCGUGUGUGAAGAAGGCCUUCGGGUUGUAAAGCACUUUCAGUGGGGAAGAAAGCCUUGGGGCUAAUACCCUCGAGGAAGGACAUCACCCACAGAAGAAGCACCGGCUAACUCCGUGCCAGCAGCCGCGGUAAUACGGAGGGUGCGAGCGUUAAUCGGAAUUACUGGGCGUAAAGCGCGCGUAGGCGGUCUGAUAAGCCGGUUGUGAAAGCCCCGGGCUCAACCUGGGAACGGCAUCCGGAACUGUCAGGCUAGAGUGCAGGAGAGGAAGGUAGAAUUCCCGGUGUAGCGGUGAAAUGCGUAGAGAUCGGGAGGAAUACCAGUGGCGAAGGCGGCCUUCUGGACUGACACUGACGCUGAGGUGCGAAAGCGUGGGUAGCAAACAGGAUUAGAUACCCGUGUAGUC